RNAcentral lists this long non-coding RNA (1448 nucleotides) under Taeniopygia guttata (zebra finch). RNAcentral's name for it is "lncRNA (ENSTGUG00000026612.1)". The record is from RNAcentral. Lineage: Eukaryota; Metazoa; Chordata; Aves; Passeriformes; Estrildidae.
AUGGCAGAGCAGCCGGGUUUCACCACCUGCAUCACACCCAACUGCAAAGGGCUGUAUUGCAGCGAGUGCUACAGAGUCCUGAACAAAACCUGCUCCGUCUGCAUGGCCCCCCUGAGCUCCCCGGACUCUGGGGAUGAGGAGAUGGAUUCCAGUGACGAGGAGACACCGGGGCUGUGGCUGCGGGGCCAGGAGCGAGGGCGGCGGCUGCUGCAGCGCAUCAGGGACAUGAUCGAGGGCCGAGGCUCCCCUUCAGAAUGGCUGCCCAGCUGUGAGUCCAGCUGGAGGAGGAGGAAAAGAGUGAGCAGAGCGAUGUGGGCAGCAGUGGGGUCAACAAGAGCAGAUUACUCUGCAGGUGAGGGCUGGCUGUGGGGUGGCAAUUCCCUUGUCCUCCCCAGCACUAGGGAUGCUGGAUGCCAACACUGCACUCCUCUCUCCCAGAAAGACUUCAACUAACAGCAGCAGACCAAGAACAGUGAAAGCGAGGGCCCGGUGACAGCAGGACGGUGCCAUGUGGCAGCAAAACCACGGGUCUGGGUGCUGGGAUGUGCUUGGAGCCCCACCAAGUGCAGCAGAAGCUGAGUGCCACUGGGUGGGGAAGGACUGGUGAAUAAAUCGCCUGGUCCUUAAGGCACCUGAGUCCUGGUACUCUGAGUUGGCAUCCAUCAUUCCAUGAUGGUCCUGACUUUGUGAUAGCCCAGCUCCUUGCUGCCCCAGCUCCAUCCCUGCUGUGACCCCAUCCUCUCAGUGUCCCCCAGCCCCAUCUCGAGCACCUCGGUGCCACCAUCUCCAUUCCCACUGUGCCUCCAGCCCCUACACACCUCUGUCCCCAGCCUUUAUGCUGUCCCCAGCCUUUAUGCUGUCCCCAUUCCCAUCCCUGUGGUGCCCCCAGCCCCAUGCUGACCCCCACCCCUCAAUGUCCCUCUCCCCACACUCAGUGACCGCUCCCCAUCCCUGCAGUGCCCUAGACUCUCAAUGUCCCCAUCCCCACAGUGUCCCCAGUCCCGAGCUGCUCCAGGGUGGGGAUGCAGAAUGGACAGACAGCCGGACGCGAGAGAAGUCCCUGCUUCUCCGUUUAUUACCAAGCAGCCUUCGUUUAAAAAAAAAAAAAAACAAAAACAAAAAAACAAACACAGACGUACAGACAGGCAGAGGCGGCCCGGCGGGGCGGGGGCCGCCCGCCCGUGGUUUGUUUGGUUCCUGACACCAGAGAGGUUCAAGUAGCCGAAAAGGUUCAAGUUCACCAUAAGGCACUUUAAAGCCAUGACGGGAGCAGAGCCCCCCCCGGCCCCAUCACCCCUCCCGGCACCCCAUGGCAGAUGUGGAUGCCGGGCAGCGCUGGUGGUUGGCAGCAGAGGGGCUGUGAGGGGGAAUAUAUUACAUCAUCUUUUUAAAUAUAGAUAAAACUCUUAUUGUAGACAAAUAGUGCCGGUCCCCUCCACCCCCGGGGA